ACGCCUCUUUGCACGCCUCGGCACAGGUGCAAAAGAGCUUCUCAUUCUGUAAAGAGGGGUUCGAUUCCCCUAGGGCGUACCA
Molecule: transfer RNA, 82 nt
Filed under: Rhizobium favelukesii
Lineage: Bacteria; Pseudomonadati; Pseudomonadota; Alphaproteobacteria; Hyphomicrobiales; Rhizobiaceae
Description: tRNA-Arg (TCT) (tRNA-Arg-TCT-2-1)
Source: RNAcentral